RNAcentral lists this long non-coding RNA (285 nucleotides) under Brassica napus (rape). RNAcentral describes it as "long non-coding RNA (BNAP_LNC000688)". The record is from RNAcentral. Lineage: Eukaryota; Viridiplantae; Streptophyta; Magnoliopsida; Brassicales; Brassicaceae.
CAAGAAUAGUUUUUCAUUAAUUUUUUGACAAAAUACACGCAUUCAUAAUCUGAUUUCUUGCAAACUAUUUGUGCAUAACACUUUUUUUUUAUAGUUUACAUCAUCUUUAUUUCCUUCAUUAUUAGUUUUUCUUAAAACCAAUAUGUGUCUUUUAUUUUAACUGAGAAUUGAAGUGUGUGUCUGGUCUUUGUGGAUUUGAUCACGUACUUCUACUGUGCACUUACAGUUAGUUUAUUGGAAUAAAUUGAAUGAACAUAUAUGUUGAGAAGAUGUUUUUUUAAUAAU